AUCCACACAUUCUCCCUCUCCCCUUCGCUCACUGUGAGGCUAAUGGCCACCGUAUCCCGGCCACCGUUUUUCAACCCGACCCGCCCCAAGAACCAAAUUGUCUGCGGAAAACCCAACAACGGCGACUCCUCCGCCUUCCAAGAGAAGAAGCAGGUCUCCGUGGACUACGACCACGGCACUCACCACGUCUCCACCCGAAUCACCGGCCUCACCAAACAACACAUCCCCAAACGCCAUCGUUUACGAGUCGAAACCGAGCGUUUCCAGAAGGACUGGGCCGUCUCCGACGUCGUCGACCGCCUCUACAAGCUCCGCCACUGGGAGGACAUCGAGGGCUUACUCAAUCAAUGGGUCGGGCGCUUUGCUCGUAAGAACUUCCCUGUUCUCAUCAAGGAAAUGACAGAGAGGGGUUCGGUGGAACACUGUGUGCGAGUGUUCGGGUGGAUGAAGAACCAGAAGAACUAUUGUGCUCGCACUGACAUGUAUAAUAUGAUGAUCAGAUUGCACGCUCGGCAUAAUCUUGUCGAUAAAGCUCGCGGCUUGUUUUUCGAAAUGCAAGAGUGGAGGUGCAAGCCUGAUGCUGAGUCCUACAAUGCUCUUAUCAAUGCACAUGGUCGAGCAGGUCAAUGGCGUUGGGCCAUGAAUCUUAUGGAUGACAUGUUGCGUGCAGCUAUCCCUCCUAGUAGAUCAACAUAUAACAACUUGAUCAAUGCUUGUGGAUCUAGUGGAAAUUGGAGGGAAGCUUUGAAAGUAUGCAAGAAAAUGACAGAUAAUGGAGUUGGGCCUGAUCUUGUGACUCACAAUAUUGUUUUAUCUGCAUACAAAACUGGGGCUCAGUAUUCAAAGGCUUUAUCUUAUUUUGAACUUAUGAAGGGAACUAAUAUCCGUCCAGACACAACCACCCUUAAUAUUGUUAUAUAUUGCCUUGUAAAGCUUGGACAAUAUGGGAAAGCCAUUGAUAUUUUCAGCUCUAUGAGAGAUAAGAGAGCUGAAUGCCGUCCUGACAUUGUGACAUUCACCAGCAUCAUUCAUCUGUAUUCUAUGUCCGGGCAGAUAGAAAAUUGUACAGCUGUAUUCAGUACAAUACUUGCAGAAGGCCUAAAACCUAACAUUGUUUCAUACAAUGCACUAUUGGGUGCAUAUGCUUCACAUGGGAUGAGCGCAGAGGCAUUGUCAGUUUUUAAUGAGAUAAAGAAAAGUAGUUUCCGGCCAGAUGUUGUGUCGUAUACAUCCCUACUCAAUUCAUACGGAAGAUCACAACAACCUCAAAAGGCCAGGGCAGUUUUUGACAUGAUGAAGAGAAACAACUUGAAGCCAAAUCUUGUGAGCUAUAACGCACUGAUUAAUGCCUAUGGAUCUAAUGGUUUAUUAGCUGAAGCGGUAGAAGUCUUGCGUGAGAUGGAGCGAGAUGGAAUUCAUCCAAACAUUGUCUCAAUAUGUACACUUUUGGCAGCUUGUGGACAAUGCGGUCAGAAGGUGAAAAUUGAUGCCGUGCUUUCAGCAGCGAAGCUGCGAGGCAUUGAAUUGAACACAAUUGCAUUUAAUUCAGCUAUUGGAAGCUAUAUGAAUUUGGGAGAACAUGAGAAAGCUAUAAACUUGUAUCAAUCUAUGAGAAAGAAGAAAGUUAAACCGGAUUCUGUUACAUACACUGUGUUGAUAAGUGGCUGUUGUAAGAUUUCAAAACACAGUGAGGCAAUAACAUUUUUUGAUGAAAUGGUGGAUUUGAAAAUUCUUGUUUCCAAAGAGGUCUACUCAUCUGUGAUCUCUGCCUACAGCAAGAUGGGCCAACUUACAGAAGCAGAAUCUAUAUUCAACUUGAUGAAAACGGCUGGUUGUGCUCCUGAUGUAGUUACAUAUACUACAAUGCUGCAUGCGUAUAGUGCUGCUGAGAAUUGGGAAAAGGCUUGUGUUCUAUUCCAAGAAAUGGAAACUAAUGGCAUCCAACUAGAUGUCAUUGCAUGCUCAGCUUUAAUGAGAGCUUUUAACAAAGGAGGCAACCCAUCCAGGGUUCUUAUUCUGGCUGAAAUCAUGCGAGAAAAAGAAAUUCCUUUCAGUGAUGCCAUUUUCUUUGAAAUGGUAUCAGCCUGUAGCUUAUUACAAGAUUGGAGAACAACAAUGGAAUUGAUUAAGUUGAUUGAGCCCUCACUACCUGGAGUUUCAAUUGGACUUGUGAAUCAACUUCUGCGUAUUCUUGGAAGAAGUGGAAAGAUUGAAACUAUGAUGAAGUUAUUCUACAAGAUAGUGGCAUCCAGUGGUGAUAUCAAUUUUGAUACUUAUUCAAUUUUGUUGAAGAAUCUCCUGUCUGUCGGAAAUUGGAGAAAAUAUUUUGAGGUACUACAAUGGAUGGUGGAUGCUGGAAUUCGACCGUCAAGCCAAAUGUACCUUGAUAUAUCAUCUUUUGCACACAAAAGCGCUGGAGCUGAAUAUGCUACUCUUAUAAAAGAAAGAAUUGAACUUUUAAAAAGAAAAUCUGGGUACCAAGAUUUGACAAGCGAGCCCUGCGAUACACAUUCCACCUCUUCGCUGAUAAGUAGAACGAAGGAAGAGAACCACAGGCUGCUGGAGUCAACAAUGGCUGGUACAUAUGCAGUUGCCGAGUACCAUCUGUAACAUAUUUGAUAGGCCGAAAUGCAAUAUAGGAGAUGAUGUGUAAGUUUUGUAGAGCUCAUCCGAGAUGAGAAUGGUAGGAAUGUUAGUAAUUGCCCGAUAUAUAGCCUGUAAAUGAAUUCUUAUUCCACAUUCAUGUGUAUCUGUUUGGACAGAACCAAAUUGCAGUCUCUCCAACCAUUUCGAUUUAAACAGAUUCAAGUUAAAGUGGUAUAAUUUGUAAUCUCAAAGACUCAAGGUGAUGUAGCAUGAUUAAUGGUACCGUAGAUUUCUAGUUA
Molecule: RNA transcript, 2885 nt
Organism: Malus domestica (apple)
Lineage: Eukaryota; Viridiplantae; Streptophyta; Magnoliopsida; Rosales; Rosaceae
Gene name: pentatricopeptide repeat-containing protein At2g41720
Source: RefSeq, a predicted model, not a curated record